GGGUUAAGUCCCGUAACGAGCGCAACCCUGCCUUAGUACCAGCACGUUAUGGUGGGCACUCUAAGGAGACUGCUGGUGACAAACCGGAGGAAGUGGGGAUGACGUCAAGUCAUCAUGGCCCUUACGGCCUGGGCUACACACGUGCUACAAUGGUCGGUACAAAGGGUUGCCAAGCCGCGAGGUGGAGCUAAUCCCAUAAAACCGAUCGUAGUCCGGAUCGCAGUCUGCAACUCGACUGCGUGAAGUCGGAAUCGCUAGUAAUCGUGAAUCAGAAUGUCACGGUGAAUACGUUCCCGGGCCUU
Molecule: ribosomal RNA, 302 nt
Filed under: uncultured Pseudomonas sp.
Lineage: Bacteria; Pseudomonadati; Pseudomonadota; Gammaproteobacteria; Pseudomonadales; Pseudomonadaceae
Description: bacterial SSU rRNA
Rfam family: Bacterial small subunit ribosomal RNA
Source: RNAcentral